Molecule: small nucleolar RNA, 138 nt
Organism: Tachyglossus aculeatus (Australian echidna)
Lineage: Eukaryota; Metazoa; Chordata; Mammalia; Monotremata; Tachyglossidae
Source: RefSeq, a predicted model, not a curated record
CCCCUCUCAGGAUCUCACCUGGAGAGUUUCCACUACUCUAUCGGUCCCGGCUACGGGAGGGAGAGUUGAGCAGAGCCAUACCCAUUCCAUUCCUAGUUUGGCCAGUGACUAGCGAGUGAGAGGCAAUCUGCUACAAAU